RNAcentral lists this ribosomal RNA (446 nucleotides) under uncultured bacterium. Its description in RNAcentral is "bacterial SSU rRNA". It matches the Rfam family "Bacterial small subunit ribosomal RNA", at positions 29 to 475 of the family's 1533-position model. The record is from RNAcentral.
AUUGAACGCUGGCGGUAGGCCUAACACAUGCAAGUCGAACGCGAAAGUCCUUCGGGAUGAGUAGAGUGGCGGACGGGUGAGUAACGCGUAGGAAUCUAUCCUGUAGUGGGGGAGUAACGUUUCGAAAGGAACGCUAAUACCGCAUACGCCCCACGGGGAAAGCGGGGGAGUCUUCGGACCUCGUGCUAUAGGAGGAGCCUGCGUCGGAUUAGCUAGUUGGUGAGGUAAAGGCUCACCAAGGCGACGAUCCGUAGCUGGUCUGAGAGGAUGAUCAGCCACACCGGAACUGAGACACGGUCCGGACUCCUACGGGAGGCAGCAGUGGGGAAUAUUGCGCAAUGGGCGAAAGCCUGACGCAGCCAUACCGCGUGUGUGAAAGAAGGGCCCUUCGGGGUUUGUAAAGGACACUUUCAGUGGGGAGGAAAAGACGGGUGGCGUAAUAUCCA